UACGUAGGGGGCAAGCGUUGUCCGGAUUUAUUGGGCGUAAAGCGCUCGCAGGUGGUUCGGUGCGUCGGGCGUGAAAGACCCCGGCUCAACUGGGGAGGGUCGUGCGAUACUGUCGAACUGGAGGCCAGUAGGGGGAUGCGGAAUUCCGGGUGUAGUGGUGGAAUGCGUAGAGAUCCGGAGGAACACCAGCGGCGAAGGCGGCAUCCUGGACUGGUACUGACACUCAUGAGCGAAAGCGUGGGGAGCGAUCCGG
Molecule: ribosomal RNA, 253 nt
Filed under: uncultured bacterium
Lineage: Bacteria
Description: partial 16S ribosomal RNA
Rfam family: Bacterial small subunit ribosomal RNA
Source: RNAcentral